UAGAUCCAUGAUUAAAAAAAAUAGAAGGCCCAAAACUCUUCUCCAAUGACAAAAGCCCUGAAACUUCACACUGAAAUGGCCUAAAACUCUUCUCCAACGAUGAAAACUCUAAAACUACGCACUGAAACUAACGCUGCCACCACUGAAACCCAAAAGCAAUGCUACCACUAUGCUCUGUUCCGGCGACGAUCUGCUCCGGCGACGGUCUUCUUAGCGGCGUUCACCCCCGAUCGACUAGAUACUCCUCCAUCGAGAUUUUUGUCUCCUCUAGCUAUGAACUGAAAUGCUCUCCUUGUUGUCUCCUCUAGUGACAAUCUCUCCAGCGAUGAUCUCCUCUGGCAAUGUUCUCCUCCGGCGGCGCGUUCUCCUCCGGCCACGCGUUCUCCUCCAGCUACAAUAUCGUCGAUUGAGCUACCAUGCCGCGAACUGAAAUGAUGUCACUGUGUGAGAGCAAGGUUGAAACAAAGAUCUCCUCCAACGAUAUUCUCCUCCGGUGACAAUCUCCUCCGGCGGUGUUCUCCUCCGACUACAGCCUCCUUCAUCGAGCUACUAUGCUACAAGUUUUUCCUUCUGUUGAGAUUCUUAGGUUUUACGAGGUAGAGUUUUUAGAUCAAAGAGGAAUGUGAUUAUCUAAUCAGUAUUGCAAAGCCACACAUGCAAAAAUUGAGAGUUCUUGAUAGCGAAAUUGGAACAAGUAAAGACAGCAAAUGUUGGUUGCAUGCAAUAUAGCUGAAACUGAAUUAAUGAAAGGAACAAUGGAAAAUUCUCCUCAUGUUGAACCUCAACACUAUUUGCCUGCAACCAUGUGAGUUUAACCAACAUUCUUCAUCACAUUUUCUCUUUUCUAAGGAUUGUAUAAUUUCUUAUUUUGAGGCACCGAGGACAGCAAGUGUCAGAAAUUUAGGGUGCCUAAAGAAAGGAAGGUUACCAUGCUAAAAAUCUUGCCACAGAGAGGAGAUGAAGAUGCAAACAGAAGUGAAUCAUAUAAGUAGGACAGAGUUCUUGCUUAAGGUAUGCUGGGAGCAGAAGCCAGGUGGGUUUUCAAGGUUGAUGGAAGCUAUAAAUUCAUUUGGAUUUCAAGUGGAAAAUGCCAAUAUGACCACAAUUGACGGAAAGGCUCAGAUCAUUCUAACAGUUGAGCCUUGAAGCUUGUGCUGCAAUAUUGUGAAAAUCUUCCAAAGCUGCUCCUAAGGUAAUGAAUUUAAAUUAGUUCUGAUUUUUGGCUUACUUUGAAUAUCUGAGCAAUUUUGUAGUGACUUUAGUGAGUUUUGUAUAGGCUGCUAAAAAGCCAAGAAUUACAGCUCAAGAACAUUAUAGACUUGGAAUUGCUGAUGGUGUUAUUCCUGUAAGGAAAUUGAAAAGUCCUGCUAGAGAUUUUGUCUCAUGACCUUCUUUGUGUUUUGAGUUUUGAAAUGAUGUUAGUACUAUGAUCUUCUAAAUCAAGAAAUCAUAAAGAAAAUUAGUGGAAUUAAGGUUGUGCAUGGAAACUAUCUCAAAAAAGAUAUACAGAAAAAUGUGCAAAUUUUGUCAUAGGACAAAGACAUGUUUGUUUUUGAAUUAUUCACUUUCUCUAAAUAGAUUUGUGUCUCAUGGUAUCUCUAUAUUUCUGUCUCGAGAUAGUUACCAAAGAGGGGCUAACGCCUAAGUUAUGACUCUUUGUAUUUGCUCAUUUGAUCUAAUGGAAAAAAUUAAAUAUUAAAUUAAUUGAAAGAAAAAGAAAAAUGUACAAGACCAACAAUGGUGUUGGUGUAGCAGUUAAGCCAUACUAUAGCCUAGAAGAAACAUUUUUGUAGAGAACACCAAUUGGAAGAGCAAGCCUGACUCACCAACAAAUUCAACUUUCUGACCAUUUUCAACAACAAAAAAUUUAGCUCAGCAACAAAUUCUUGGCAUGAAAUUGUAUGGCAUGAAUCUGAUUAAAAUUGUAUGGCAUGUUUAGUUACAAUUCCAUGUAUAGCCAUGUUGAGAAGUUAGCUGAAGAGAUUAAAAAGGGGGCUGCUUCCGUGGAAGGAGUAGAAGCAAAACUCUAGAAAUUUUUAGUUAAUAUGAAAUUAAUAAUGAGUUCUUAUCAAAUAGUAUAUUUCUUGUGAGACUGCUGGUUUAGUUUUCUCUUCUUCAAAAUGCUGGUAGUUUGCUAUUUAUUUGAGCAAUUAUCUAUUUCUAAUGUUCAAUUUUCUUUUGCAGGUAAUAUUUAUUCACGCGGACAUGAACAAUUAAAAUUUGGAAGGGCCUGUAGCAAACUUUUUGAGCAUCUCUAUGAAAACUCCAAAUGUAAUAGAACUAACAAUAUUUCUUAGUUUGAUAUUUUGUAUAGGAAUUAUUACUUUUGAUUUGCAAUACUAAAAAAUCAUAUAUUAUGUUUAAGACUUUGAGUUAUAUAAUAUUUUGUCUAUGGA
Non-coding RNA from Arachis ipaensis, 2396 nucleotides. The record is from RefSeq and is a predicted model, not a curated record. Lineage: Eukaryota; Viridiplantae; Streptophyta; Magnoliopsida; Fabales; Fabaceae.